This 1964-nucleotide long non-coding RNA is filed under the name Theobroma cacao (cacao). RNAcentral describes it as "long non-coding RNA (TCAC_LNC002416)". Lineage: Eukaryota; Viridiplantae; Streptophyta; Magnoliopsida; Malvales; Malvaceae. The record is from RNAcentral.
UCUUCUUCUUCCCUUCUCCUCUCUCACGUUUCUUCAAACUCCAUGGAAGCUUGAUUUUCAAACUUCCACAACUUUCUCUCUCUAGCUCUAAUUUUCAUGCUUUUGGUGCACCCUUCCAUAAACCCUUGUGCUAUUUCAUCUUCUCACUUCAAAAACCUUGAAAUAUCUUGUUUUCAUACUUUCUCUCACUAGCUGGGCAUUCUAGAGAGAGAAAGAGAGAAUCACUCCAUUGAUUUGGAAGCUAUUGGAAGAGAAUCCAACUACAAAGGAACCCUAGGGUGAGUGAUGCACCAAGUUUGAUUUUUAGCUGCAGAAAAUGGCUAGUAAUUGUGAUUUAUGAGCUGUUUUAUUGUUUAGUAUGUUCAUUACUUUUUAGUGAUUAAGAUAGUGAACAUAGAUAGCCAUUUAAAGUGGCAAUUGAAAACUAGCUAAGAGAUAGCUUUUAGAGUUCAUAGUGUGUAAAUUAAUCUAUUGUUUAUGUUAAUGUGAUCCUAGGUUUUUAAGGAAGCACCAUCAUUCCAAUUGGAUCAUUAGGGGAAUUUGAGUCAAUUAAAAGUUCUACAAUCAAUUGGUGAGUGGACUACCUUCAAAACUGAUUUUGGGAAUAUGAUGGAUUUGACAAAGUGUUUGAAUGGUUUUAUACAAAUUUUCAUGAAAAUGAAUGCCUUGGGAACAAGCUUUUGAGAAAAGGUUUAUGUUAUGAAAUGUGAUUAUUAUGGAUUUCUAUGUGGCUGCAUUAUGUUGAUAUACAUAUAUGCUUGAGUAUAAUGUUGUGUAAUUAUAUUGACUCGGCUAUGUGCGAGUAAGGAGUGCGCAUAAGCCGAGGAGGACCUAGUUUUGUGCAAGUAGGGAGUGCACAAAACCCGGUGAUGACCCAGCCAUGUGCGAGUAGGGAGUGCACAUGAGUUGGUGAUGAUGAUGAUGGGAUGGUGUGAUGAUGAUGAUGGGUAUAUAUGUAUAUAUAUAUACAUAUAUAUGUAAAUAUGUGUGUUAUAGGAAAUUGAUGGAUAAUGGGUUAUGGUUGCAAUGCAUGUGAAACUUGACAUGUUAAACCUUGAGAAAUUGUUAUGUGUUUUCAUGUUGGUUUGGACCUUUUGGCAAGGUGGUUUUUCCUUUGGGAGAGAGGUAAAUUUUUCAUUGAUGCCCUGUAUUUCGCUGUAGCGAGAAACUCUCAGAUUUGGAGGGGUACACUAGUCAGAAACUCGCUGCAGUGAGGAUGCAUUUUUGCUGCUGCGAGAAUGACACUGUAGCUUCUCGCUGCAGCGAAAUGCAUUCUUGCUGCAGUGAGAAACAUUCUGUUUUAUGGGUUGCAAUUUCGCUGCAACGAGAAACAUUCUAUUUCUGGGUAGAAAUUUCGCUACAGUGAGAUUGAAUCUCGCUAUAGCGAAAAACUUUUUGUUUUGGUCUCUUAUAUUGUCCAAUUGCUGCCCUAUCUUUCACUUCUUUGCUACCAUAUGGGAGCAUGGACUUCCAACAUUAAGGAUUAAAAGAGUUAAGUUUAAAAUGAGGAGGUUUAGUGAGAAACCCUCGACCAGUUAAGAAACCUUCGUUCGGUUAAUAACUAAAUUCCAACGUCGAUGCAACGAAAAUAUAUUCUCGCUACAGUGAAGAUUCGUUGUUGUAUUUGACUUGCUUGUGCAAUAUUGAAGCUUUCAUUCUUCAAAUGAUUCGCUAUGUAUGGGUUCAUGAUCUUUAAAUGAUUAAUCACUUAAGGGCUCGAUAAGGGGUUUUAUUAGGAAUGAACCAAAUUGUAUUGUUUUGAAACUAGUGCAUCAUGAUUUUAAAUUUUCCAUUGUUGUUGCUUGUUCCCUUCCUUGUUCACUCAUUGGGUUUAUACUCACCAUUUCAAAUUCAUGUUUUCAGAUCACGAGGCAGCCGGUAACUAGGACGAGGUAUCCUUGUAGACUUGUGUCCAUCUUUUGGUAGGUGUCUCGGCAUUCAGUAGCUGUACAUUCAUCCGAGUC